RNAcentral lists this ribosomal RNA (1713 nucleotides) under Escherichia coli 2-210-07_S1_C2. RNAcentral's name for it is "bacterial LSU rRNA". It matches the Rfam family "Bacterial large subunit ribosomal RNA", at positions 1232 to 2925 of the family's 2925-position model. The record is from RNAcentral. Lineage: Bacteria; Pseudomonadati; Pseudomonadota; Gammaproteobacteria; Enterobacterales; Enterobacteriaceae.
GGGAGCGUUCUGUAAGCCUGUGAAGGUGUGCUGUGAGGCAUGCUGGAGGUAUCAGAAGUGCGAAUGCUGACAUAAGUAACGAUAAAGCGGGUGAAAAGCCCGCUCGCCGGAAGACCAAGGGUUCCUGUCCAACGUUAAUCGGGGCAGGGUGAGUCGACCCCUAAGGCGAGGCCGAAAGGCGUAGUCGAUGGGAAACAGGUUAAUAUUCCUGUACUUGGUGUUACUGCGAAGGGGGGACGGAGAAGGCUAUGUUGGCCGGGCGACGGUUGUCCCGGUUUAAGCGUGUAGGCUGGUUUUCCAGGCAAAUCCGGAAAAUCAAGGCUGAGGCGUGAUGACGAGGCACUACGGUGCUGAAGCAACAAAUGCCCUGCUUCCAGGAAAAGCCUCUAAGCAUCAGGUAACAUCAAAUCGUACCCCAAACCGACACAGGUGGUCAGGUAGAGAAUACCAAGGCGCUUGAGAGAACUCGGGUGAAGGAACUAGGCAAAAUGGUGCCGUAACUUCGGGAGAAGGCACGCUGAUAUGUAGGUGAAGUCCCUCGCGGAUGGAGCUGAAAUCAGUCGAAGAUACCAGCUGGCUGCAACUGUUUAUUAAAAACACAGCACUGUGCAAACACGAAAGUGGACGUAUACGGUGUGACGCCUGCCCGGUGCCGGAAGGUUAAUUGAUGGGGUUAGCCGCAAGGCGAAGCUCUUGAUCGAAGCCCCGGUAAACGGCGGCCGUAACUAUAACGGUCCUAAGGUAGCGAAAUUCCUUGUCGGGUAAGUUCCGACCUGCACGAAUGGCGUAAUGAUGGCCAGGCUGUCUCCACCCGAGACUCAGUGAAAUUGAACUCGCUGUGAAGAUGCAGUGUACCCGCGGCAAGACGGAAAGACCCCGUGAACCUUUACUAUAGCUUGACACUGAACAUUGAGCCUUGAUGUGUAGGAUAGGUGGGAGGCUUUGAAGUGUGGACGCCAGUCUGCAUGGAGCCGACCUUGAAAUACCACCCUUUAAUGUUUGAUGUUCUAACGUGACCCGUAUCCGGGUUGCGGACAGUGUCUGGUGGGUAGUUUGACUGGGGCGGUCUCCUCCUAAAGAGUAACGGAGGAGCACGAAGGUUGGCUAAUCCUGGUCGGACAUCAGGAGGUUAGUGCAAUGGCAUAAGCCAGCUUGACUGCGAGCGUGACGGCGCGAGCAGGUGCGAAAGCAGGUCAUAGUGAUCCGGUGGUUCUGAAUGGAAGGGCCAUCGCUCAACGGAUAAAAGGUACUCCGGGGAUAACAGGCUGAUACCGCCCAAGAGUUCAUAUCGACGGCGGUGUUUGGCACCUCGAUGUCGGCUCAUCACAUCCUGGGGCUGAAGUAGGUCCCAAGGGUAUGGCUGUUCGCCAUUUAAAGUGGUACGCGAGCUGGGUUUAGAACGUCGUGAGACAGUUCGGUCCCUAUCUGCCGUGGGCGCUGGAGAACUGAGGGGGGCUGCUCCUAGUACGAGAGGACCGGAGUGGACGCAUCACUGGUGUUCGGGUUGUCAUGCCAAUGGCACUGCCCGGUAGCUAAAUGCGGAAGAGAUAAGUGCUGAAAGCAUCUAAGCACGAAACUUGCCCCGAGAUGAGUUCUCCCUGACUCCUUGAGAGUCCUGAAGGAACGUUGAAGACGACGACGUUGAUAGGCCGGGUGUGUAAGCGCAGCGAUGCGUUGAGCUAACCGGUACUAAUGAACCGUGAGGCUUAACCU